This 739-nucleotide ribosomal RNA is filed under the name Bradyrhizobium japonicum. RNAcentral describes it as "bacterial SSU rRNA". It matches the Rfam family "Bacterial small subunit ribosomal RNA", at positions 8 to 791 of the family's 1533-position model. Lineage: Bacteria; Pseudomonadati; Pseudomonadota; Alphaproteobacteria; Hyphomicrobiales; Nitrobacteraceae. The record is from RNAcentral.
AGAGUUUGAUCAUGGCUCAGAGCGAACGCUGGCGGCAGGCUUAACACAUGCAAGUCGAGCGGGCGUAGCAAUACGUCAGCGGCAGACGGGUGAGUAACGCGUGGGAACAUACCUUUUGGUUCGGAACAACACAGGGAAACUUGUGCUAAUACCGGAUAAGCCCUUACGGGGAAAGAUUUAUCGCCGAAAGAUUGGCCCGCGUCUGAUUAGCUAGUUGGUGAGGUAAUGGCUCACCAAGGCGACGAUCAGUAGCUGGUCUGAGAGGAUGAUCAGCCACAUUGGGACUGAGACACGGCCCAAACUCCUACGGGAGGCAGCAGUGGGGAAUAUUGGACAAUGGGGGCAACCCUGAUCCAGCCAUGCCGCGUGAGUGAUGAAGGCCCUAGGGUUGUAAAGCUCUUUUGUGCGGGAAGAUAAUGACGGUACCGCAAGAAUAAGCCCCGGCUAACUUCGUGCCAGCAGCCGCGGUAAUACGAAGGGGGCUAGCGUUGCUCGGAAUCACUGGGCGUAAAGGGUGCGUAGGCGGGUCUUUAAGUCAGGGGUGAAAUCCUGGAGCUCAACUCCAGAACUGCCUUUGAUACUGAAGAUCUUGAGUUCGGGAGAGGUGAGUGGAACUGCGAGUGUAGAGGUGAAAUUCGUAGAUAUUCGCAAGAACACCAGUGGCGAAGGCGGCUCACUGGCCCGAUACUGACGCUGAGGCACGAAAGCGUGGGGAGCAAACAGGAUUAGAAACCCUGGU